AGAUUUACUGAUAACUGCUAGUGAGGAUGACUCAAUUCGACUUUUUGACAUUGCCAAUGGGAAGUUGCUGAAGACUACAUAUCAUAAGAAGCAUGGAGCUGAUCGAAUAUGCUUUACCCACCACCCUCAUUCUGUUAUAUGCUCUUCAAUACACAACUUGGAUGUGCAUGGAGAGUCUUUGCGAUACCUAUCCAUGUACGAUAAUCGAUGUCUUCGUUACUUUAAGGGACAUAAAGAGAGGGUUGUGUCACUGUGCAUGUCUCCAGUUAAUGACAGCUUUUUGUCUGGAUCUCUUGACCAUAGUGUGAGAAUAUGGGAUCUUCGUGUAAAUGCAUGCCAGGGGAUUUUGCGUCUAAGAGGUAGGCCUGCAGUUGCUUAUGACCAACAAGGCCUUGUCUUUGCAGUGGCAAUGGAAGGGGGUGCCAUCAAAUUGUUUGAUUCAAGACACUUUGACAAGGGGCCCUUUGAAACCUUCCUAGUUGGUGGAGAUACAGCUGAGGUUUGUGACAUAAAAUUCAGCAAUGAUGGAAAAUCAAUGCUUUUAACAACUACUAGUAAUAGCAUCUAUGUGCUUGACGCCUAUGCAGGAGAGAAGCGGUGUGGGUUUAAUCUGGAUCCUUCCCCGACAGCAAUGGAGGCAUCCUUUACACCAGACGGACAGUAUGUUUUUUCAGGUUCAGGAGAUGGAAGCUUGCAUGCGUGGCACAUCGACACACAAAAUAAGGUUUGUAGCUGGGAUAGCCACAUAGGUGUGGCAUCGUGCUUGAAAUGGGCCCCAAGAAGAGUCAUGUUUGUUGCUGCAUCAUCAGUUCUUACCUUUUGGAUUCCUGAUCAUAGAGGUCCUGGUGAGGCCGCUGGAGUCCAAGUAGAAGAACAAGUUACUCUUACUCAAUGACGUCUUUAUAAGUUACAUGUAGGUGUAAACACACUUGGCACUCCCAGGAGUUGUGUGGACAUUGUUGAUGCAUGUGUGUCUUUUAUUUGUUAUCCUUUUUUGUGAAGAAAGAAAACGAAACCAAGGACUUGGAUACCCCUUUCUGUUUGGUAAAUAGGUGUCACCUAUCUUCUAUAUGGGUUUUCUCAAUCAUUUGGCCCACUGCGAGCAUCAUUCUAUCACGUGUUAAUAGUUGCAAGUCUGUUUAAAUGGUGUGUACAAUGAGGCUUUGCGGUAUACUUAGACUAACAUAUCGAGGAUGACGGUGGAGUAAUUACACAAAGCUAAAAGGUCAUUUUGUUAGAGGAAGUGAUAUGCAAUGGAAGGAGUAAUUACAUAAGAUUGAAUUUGAGUAAUGUGUAUGUAUUAGUAUUAGUAUUAAGUAAUUUAUUUGUGCUUCUUGUGGCAAUUAAUAAUUUCAUUAAACUUAUAAAAA
RNAcentral lists this unclassified non-coding RNA (1370 nucleotides) under Hevea brasiliensis (rubber tree). Lineage: Eukaryota; Viridiplantae; Streptophyta; Magnoliopsida; Malpighiales; Euphorbiaceae. The record is from RNAcentral.